Molecule: ribosomal RNA, 447 nt
Filed under: uncultured bacterium
Lineage: Bacteria
Description: SSU rRNA
Rfam family: Bacterial small subunit ribosomal RNA
Source: RNAcentral
AGAACGAACGCUGGCGGCAGGCUUAACACAUGCAAGUCGAACGCGUGUAGCAAUACACGAGUGGCGCACGGGUGAGUAACGCGUGGAUAUCUGCCUUUUGGUUCGGAAUAACCCCGGGAAACUGGGGCUAAUACCGGAUGGUUCCUACGGGAUAAAGAUUUAUCGCCAAAAGAUGAGUCCGCGUCCGAUUAGCUAGUUGGUGGGGUAAUGGCCUACCAAGGCGACGAUCGGUAGCUGGUCUGAGAGGACGAUCAGCCACACUGGGACUGAGACACGGCCCAGACUCCUACGGGAGGCAGCAGUGGGGAAUAUUGGACAAUGGGGCAACCCUGAUCCAGCCAUGCCGCGUGAGUGAUGAAGGCCUUCGGGUUGUAAAGCUCUUUUGGCGGGGACGAUGAUGACGGUACCCGCAGAAUAACGCCCGGCUAACUUCGUGCCAGCAGCCGC